Molecule: ribosomal RNA, 497 nt
Filed under: uncultured bacterium
Lineage: Bacteria
Description: partial 16S ribosomal RNA
Rfam family: Bacterial small subunit ribosomal RNA
Source: RNAcentral
GAUGAACGCUGGCGGCGUGCCUAAUACAUGCAAGUCGAGCGAACAGACGAGGAGCUUGCUCCUCUGACGUUAGCGGCGGACGGGUGAGUAACACGUGGAUAACCUACCUAUAAGACUGGGAUAACUUCGGGAAACCGGAGCUAAUACCGGAUAAUAUAUUGAACCGCAUGGUUCAAUAGUGAAAGACGGUUUUGCUGUCACUUAUAGAUGGAUCCGCGCCGCAUUAGCUAGUUGGUAAGGUAACGGCUUACCAAGGCGACGAUGCGUAGCCGACCUGAGAGGGUGAUCGGCCACCCUGGAACUGAGACACGGUCCAGACUCCUACGAGAGGCAGCAGUCGGGACUCUUCCGCCAUGGGCGAAAGCCUGACGGAGCAACGCCGCGUGAGUGAUGAAGGUGUUCGGAUCGUAAAACUCUGUUAGUAGGGAAGAACAAAUGUGUAAGUAACUAUGCACGUCUUGACGGUACCUAAUCAGAAAGCCACGGCUAACUACGUG